Molecule: ribosomal RNA, 250 nt
Filed under: uncultured prokaryote
Description: partial 16S ribosomal RNA
Rfam family: Bacterial small subunit ribosomal RNA
Source: RNAcentral
UACGUAGGUGGCGAGCGUUGUCCGGAAUUAUUGGGCGUAAAGGGAGCGCAGGUGGGAUUGUAAGUCAGUCUUAAAAGUUCGGGGCUCAACCCCGUGAUGGGAUUGAAACUACAAUUCUUGAGUGCAGGAGAGGAAAGCGGAAUUCCUAGUGUAGCGGUGAAAUGCGUAGAUAUUAGGAGGAACACCAGUGGCGAAGGCGGCUUUCUGGACUGUAACUGACACUGAGGCUCGAAAGCGUGGGGAGCGAACA